Molecule: long non-coding RNA, 1963 nt
Organism: Eriocheir sinensis (Chinese mitten crab)
Lineage: Eukaryota; Metazoa; Arthropoda; Malacostraca; Decapoda; Varunidae
Exons: 3
Source: RefSeq, a predicted model, not a curated record
GAACAGAGGAGAGAAAGUUAGAGUUUGAAAAGAGUGGGUUGUGAGACGUUAGACAAAUACUUAGACAUAAUACAAGAAUGAAGGUUUGCAUAUGGAAGUUUACAGUUAUAUAGAUGAAAUUAUACAGGCUGAGGAACAGACAAGAGAAAGUUUGAGAGUUUGAGAAGAAUGGAUUGUGAGAAGUUAGACAAAUACUUUUACAUAAUACAGAAAUGAAAGUUUGAAUAGGUUGGUUUACAGAGUUAUAUAGAUGAAAUUAUACAGACAAGAGAAAGUUUUAGAGUUUGAGAAGAAUGGAUUAGACGUUAGACAAAUACUUAGACAUAAUACAGAAAUGAAAGUUUGAAUAGGUUGGUUUACAGAGUUAUAUAGAUGAAAUUAUACAGACAAGAGAAAGUUUUAGAGUUUGAGAAGAAUGGAUUAGACGUUAGACAAAUAUACCUAGACAUAAUACAAGAAUGAAGGUUUGCAUAGGUUGGUUUACAGAGUUAUAUAGAUGAAAUUAUACAGACAAGAGAAAGUUUUAGAGUUUGAGAAGAAUGGAUUGUGAGAAGUUAGACAAAUACUUAGACAUAAUACAAAAAUGAAGGUUUGCAUAGAGUGAUUUACAGAGUUAUAUAGAUGAAAUUAUACAGGCGGAGGAACAGAAGAGAGAAAGUUGAGUUUGAGAUGGAGGAAUUAUAAAACGAAAGACAUAUACUUAAACAUAAUACAGAAAUUAAGGUUUACAUAUGUUUUUUUACAGCGUUAAAUAGAUGAAAUAACACAGACGGAUGAACAGACAAGAGAAAGUAAGUUUGAGGAGAAGGAAUUAUAUCACGUACGACUAAUGCUAGAAAAAACAAACAUAAUGAGGGUUAGAUACCGUGGUUUAGUUCGUUAUAAGUAAGACAAUCCGAACAGACGAGAAGAGAAAGUUAGGGAGCAUGCGUAGAGUGGAAUACAAGACAGACGAAUUCCAUAACACAGUAAGAGAAUCAAGGUUGCCGUAGUGUGGGUUCAGGGCGUUAUAGAUGAAAAGAUAUUAACGGAGGAAGAAAAGAGAAGAGAAAUUAGGGAGUAUGUGUGGAAUGGAAUACAAGACAGUCGAAUUCCAUAACACAAUAAGAGAAUCAAGGUUGCCGUGGUGUGGGUUCAGGGCGUUAUAGAUGAAAAGAUAUUAACGGAGGAAGAAAAGAGAAGAGAAAUUAGGGAGUAUGUGUGGAAUGGAAUACAAGACAGUCGAAUUCCGUAACACAGUAAGAGAAUCAAGGUUGCCGUGGUGUGGGUUCAGGGAGUUAUAGAUGAAAAGAUAUUAACGGAGGAAGAAAAGAGCAGAGAAAUUAGGGAGUAUGUGAAGAGUGGAAUACAAGACAGUCGAAUUCCAUAACACAGUAAGAGAAUCAAGGUUGCCGUAGUGUGGGUUCAGGACGUUAUAGAUGAAAAGAUAUUAACGGAGGAAGAAAAGAGCAGAGAAAUUAGGGAGUAUGUGUGGAAUGCAAUACAAGACAGUCGAAUUCCAUAACACAGUAAGAGAAUCAAGGUUGCCGUGGUGUGGGUUCAGGACGUUAUAGAUGAAAAGAUAUCAGCGGAGGAACAAACGAUGGGAGAAAGUUAAGGGGUAUGUGUGCUUAGAGUGGAAUGCGAGACAGACACAUAACCAAUAACAUUAACACAUGCCAUAACACAGUAAGAGAAUCAAGGUUGCCGUGGUGUGGGUUCAGGACGUUAUAGAUGGAAAGAUAUAAGCGGUGGAACAAACAAGAGGAGAAAGUUGAGUUUUAGAGGAGUGGAUUAUAAAAAGUAGGACUGAUGCUGAAGCUCAAUACUACAUAAUGAAGGUUACCAUAGCAUUACGUAGAGUGUUAUAGAUGAAACAAUACACGGUGAGGAAUGUAUAAGAGGAGAAAGUUACAGAGUUUGAGAGAAGUGGAUUAUAAAAGUAGGACUGAUGCUGAAGCUCAAUACUACAUAAUGAAGGUUA